GACGAACGCUGGCGGCGUGCUUAACACAUGCAAGUCGAGCGGAAAGGCCCUUCGGGGUACUCGAGCGGCGAACGGGUGAGUAACACGUGAGUAACCUGCCCCAGACUUUGGGAUAACCCUCGGAAACGGGGGCUAAUACCGGAUACGACACAGCUUCGCAUGGGGUCUGUGUGGAAAGUUUUUCGGUUUGGGAUGGGCUCGCGGCCUAUCAGCUUGUUGGUGGGGUGAUGGCCUACCAAGGCGACGACGGGUAGCCGGCCUGAGAGGGCGACCGGCCACACUGGGACUGAGACACGGCCCAGACUCCUACGGGAGGCAGCAGUGGGGAAUAUUGCACAAUGGACGGAAGCCUGAUGCAGCGACGCCGCGUGAGGGAUGACGGCCUUCGGGUUGUAAACCUCUUUCAGCAGGGACGAAGCGUAAGUGACGGUACCUGCAGAAGAAGCGCCGGCCAACUACGUG
Molecule: ribosomal RNA, 462 nt
Filed under: uncultured bacterium
Lineage: Bacteria
Description: partial 16S ribosomal RNA
Rfam family: Bacterial small subunit ribosomal RNA
Source: RNAcentral